GAAAUAUUGGUUCUCAUCUGAUCACUGAAGUUAAGCAACAUUGAGCAUGGUCACUACCUAGAUCAGUGAUUGAUUGGGAAUACCAGGUGCUGUAAGC
Molecule: non-coding RNA, 97 nt
Organism: Acanthosepion pharaonis
Lineage: Eukaryota; Metazoa; Mollusca; Cephalopoda; Sepiida; Sepiidae
Source: the annotation of a GenBank genome assembly